CAGCCGCCACGGGAAUACGUAGGUGGCAAGCGUUGUCCGGAAUUAUUGGGCGUAAAGGGCUCGCAGGCGGUUUCUUAAGUCUGAUGUGAAAGCCCCUGGCUCAACCGGGGAGGGUCAUUGGAAACUGGGAAACUUGAGUGCAGAAGAGGAGAGUGGAAUUCCACGUGUAGCGGUGAAAUGCGUAGAGAUGUGGAGGAACACCAGUGGCGAAGGCGACUCUCUGGUCUGUAACUGACGCUGAGGAGCGAAAGCGUGGGGAGCGAACAGGAUUAGAUACCCCUGUAGUCCCUGUCUCUUAUAC
RNAcentral lists this ribosomal RNA (301 nucleotides) under uncultured bacterium. RNAcentral describes it as "partial 16S ribosomal RNA". It matches the Rfam family "Bacterial small subunit ribosomal RNA", at positions 509 to 807 of the family's 1533-position model. The record is from RNAcentral.